RNAcentral lists this unclassified non-coding RNA (312 nucleotides) under Corethrodendron scoparium. RNAcentral describes it as "partial external transcribed spacer". RNAcentral also lists the same sequence under 1 other name. Lineage: Eukaryota; Viridiplantae; Streptophyta; Magnoliopsida; Fabales; Fabaceae. The record is from RNAcentral.
UGUUUGUCCCUGGUUCCUGUGUUGCCUACCUUUUGAAAGGUACUCGUGUGGCUUGUUGGGCUUUAUCCGUUCUAACCUCUUGUUGGGUUGCGAAGGGCUUUUUAGGUGAAAUACGUGGCUGCCCGGUUAGUCCCGCUUGAUGCCGACUAUUUUGGUGCACAUGUACUAAUCGUGUUCCUGGAUGCGGUGCAUGAAGCGAACGUGGGUUUUUUCCCCAAUGCGUCCCUUAUCGUUUGGUUGCCUUAAAUGAUUCCUGCCUUCAUGCCUGGUUUGACGCAUAUUAUUGGGUCCAAAGCUUGCAUGAUGUGCAGA